AGUAUGAUGAAAUUAAAUCAAAGAGCUGAAGAAAACGUCAUCGUCAGUCUUCUAGAUCAUCUCUCUCCGAAAAUCAUUUGAUUAACGAUUAUGCUUCUCUAGACUUUUUCUUCGUCAAGGUCCCAUGGCUGGGUAAGUCCUUUUUCCUUUAUAUGAUUCCUCCUGAUUGCAAUUUUGUAGUAGAAAACAAAAGUUUUUAAUUUUUUUGAAGUUAAGGACCAAACAGUUUUAGUUUGAAACCUCGCUCUGGAUCUGCUGUAUCUCCCGAGAAUAUUUUUAUUGACUCGGCUGGUUCCUAGAAGCUUGCCGGAUUUUUGCUUUAUCAGAAGCACAUGAUGGGAAUUUGGAUAACAUGCAAUCGUUUCACUAAUCUGUGGGUACUUAAUACUCAUUAUCAGUUACUAAAUUGAUGUACAAUGUUUUUGCAUCUAGAUGAAUUUCCUAUGCAUGAUAUGACCUGCGUUUUGAUAUGGAUGAAACUCUUUGCAGUAUCAAUGGUCUCAUUUUGUAAUGGGAAAAGAGAAAAAAAUAAACUGGGAAAAGAUGUAAGAAAGCUUCAAAAUUGUAGUGAACAACUUAAAUUUUACCUGUUUGGAAAGCCUUUCAUCUUCUU
Molecule: non-coding RNA, 613 nt
Organism: Camelina sativa (false flax)
Lineage: Eukaryota; Viridiplantae; Streptophyta; Magnoliopsida; Brassicales; Brassicaceae
Source: RefSeq, a predicted model, not a curated record